CGAUCUACCACAUUUCCGUUGUCAAACAGCGGUUCCGCGUCGGCAUAGCGCGUUCGCGGUGGCGUUGCGGCCGCCCGCGAAGACGUUCGACGUCUCGCCCAGCAGCCGCGGUAAUACGUUCCCGGGCCUUGUACACACCGCCCGUCACACCACGAGAGUUGGCAACACCCGAAGUCGGUGAGGUAACCUUUUUGGAGCCAGCCGCCGAAGGUGGGGCCAAUGAUUGGGGUGAAGUCGUAACAAGGUAGCCGUAUCGGAAGGUGCGGCUGGAUCACCUCCUUUCUAAGGAAUUAGAGGAGCGUACUGGUUGAGUUUGUUCAGUUUUGAGAGAUCAAAGGAUCUUUCAAACCGUGAACCUUGAAAACUAGAUAAGAAACAAGACAUUCAACGACAUCAAAUGUAAGACGUCUUUUCACACGUAUAGUGAAGUGAAGAAGGGCGCACGGUGGAUACCUAGGCACACAGAGA
This 468-nucleotide unclassified non-coding RNA is filed under the name uncultured organism. Its description in RNAcentral is "partial contains 16S-23S ribosomal RNA intergenic spacer and 23S ribosomal RNA". The stretch from base 1 to 282 matches the Rfam family "Bacterial small subunit ribosomal RNA", at positions 1336 to 1533 of the family's 1533-position model. The record is from RNAcentral.